UCCCCCAGUUGCAAGCCUCCUUUCUGAUCAUUAGGACUGAUAUAACUUAGGGCUGGCUACUCUAGGGUCAUAAACUGUAAAUGUUUAAUCUCAGAUAAGGGGGAGAUCUUCUAUUUCAGACAUCCUGGUUCCUAAGUCCUCCUAAGUUAUAAAGAAUUUACACUCCAGGGACAGCUAGGUGGUGCAGGGGAUAGAGCACCAGCCCUGAAGUCAGGAGGACCUGAGUUCAAAUGUGACCUCAGAAACUUAACACUUCCUAGCUGUGGGACCCUGGGGAAAUCACAACACCAAUUGCCUCAACAACAACAAAAAGAAGAAUUUAUGGGCCUCACCCUCAACCUGUCAGAACAGACUCUAUGGUCCACUGACCAAUGCUCUACCCCCAACCCUCUCUGCUUUUGUCUCUCCUGAUCUCUAGAGUCCUAUAAAGAGAAGAAUCCCUGGAAUUCUUCACUUGUUGAAACUUGAGUCCCAUUCAGAAUAUUUAAAACUCUCUAAUCUCUAUCUUGCCUCAAUUUCUCCAGCUCCAGAACUCCCCUUCUUGCUUCUACUCUUAAGGUUUCUUGCUACUUGCUGUAUAUAUUCAUCAGGAAAUGGUAUUAGUUGGGAAUUCAAGUGCUGAAUGAGAAGGGUUUCAAACUCUGGACAUAAACC
This 654-nucleotide long non-coding RNA is filed under the name Sarcophilus harrisii (Tasmanian devil). RNAcentral describes it as "lncRNA (ENSSHAG00000030015.1)". Lineage: Eukaryota; Metazoa; Chordata; Mammalia; Dasyuromorphia; Dasyuridae. The record is from RNAcentral.